RNAcentral lists this ribosomal RNA (253 nucleotides) under uncultured bacterium. RNAcentral describes it as "partial 16S ribosomal RNA". It matches the Rfam family "Bacterial small subunit ribosomal RNA", at positions 524 to 776 of the family's 1533-position model. The record is from RNAcentral.
UACGAAGGGUGCUAGCGUUGUUCGGAAUUACUGGGCGUAAAGCGCGCGUAGGCGGCUUUUCAAGUCAGAGGUGAAAUCCCCAGGCUCAACCUGGGAAUUGCCUUUGAAACUGUAAAGCUUGAGUAUUGGAGGGGAGUGCGGAAUUGCUAAUGUAGAGGUGAAAUUCGUAGAUAUUAGCAGGAACACCGGUGGCGAAGGCGGCACUCUGGACAAUAACUGACGCUGAGGCGCGAAAGCGCGGGGAUCAAACAGG